This 508-nucleotide ribosomal RNA is filed under the name uncultured bacterium. RNAcentral describes it as "bacterial SSU rRNA". It matches the Rfam family "Bacterial small subunit ribosomal RNA", at positions 28 to 509 of the family's 1533-position model. The record is from RNAcentral.
GACGAACGCUGGCGGCGUGCCUAACACAUGCAAGUCGAACGCGAGUGUCUUUUUUCGCAAGAAAGUUGACACUUGAGUGGCGAACGGGUGAGUAACACGUGAGUAACUCACCUUCCGGUGGGGGAUAACUGUCCGAAAGGGCGGCUAAUACCCCGUAUGCUCCCUGACCGCCGGGUCAGUGAGGAAAGUGGGCUUCGUAAGAAGCUCAUGCCAGAAGAGAGGCUCGCGCCCCAUCAGCUAGUUGGCGAGGUAACGGCUCACCAAGGCAAUGACGGGUAGCUGGUCUGAGAGGAUGGUCAGCCACACUGGGACUGAGACACGGCCCAGACUCCUACGGGAGGCAGCAGUGAGGAAUUUUGGGCAAUGGGCGAAAGCCUGACCCAGCGACGCCGCGUGGAGGAUGAAGGCCUUCGGGUCGUAAACUCCUGUUCUGGGGAAGAAACGGGAUGCGUGAAUAAUUCAUCCCGCUGACGGUACCCCAGGAGAAAGCUCCGGCUAAUUACGUGCC